This 117-nucleotide ribosomal RNA is filed under the name uncultured bacterium. RNAcentral describes it as "partial 16S ribosomal RNA". It matches the Rfam family "Bacterial small subunit ribosomal RNA", at positions 1383 to 1500 of the family's 1533-position model. The record is from RNAcentral.
GUACACACCGCCCGUCACACCAUGAGAGUUGGAAAUACCCGAAGCCUGUGAGCUAACUUAAAGAGGCAGCAGUCGAAGGUAGAGCCAAUGAUUGGGGUGAAGUCGUAACAAGGUAGC